CCGAGUUCAUGCCCUUACGGGUAGAUCUCCCACCCUUUGUAUACUAUACCUUUGUUGCUUUGGCGGGCCGCCUAGCUACUGGCUUCGGCUGGUAUGUGCCCGCCAGAGGACCCAAAACCCUGAAUUAUUAGUGUCGUCUGAGUAAAAUAUUUAAUAUUUAAAACUUUCAACAACGGAUCUCUUGGCUCUGGCAUCGAUGAAGAACGCAGCGAAAUGCGAUAAGUAAUGUGAAUUGCAGAAUUCAGUGAAUCAUCGAAUCUUUGAACGCACAUUGCGCCCCUUGGUAUUCCGAGGGGCAUGCCUAUUCGAGCGUCAUUAUCACCCCUCAAGCCUAGCUUGGUGUUGAGGACCUGCUGUCAAGGCAGCCUCUAAAAUCAGUGGCAGUGCUGUCAGGCUCUAAGCGUAGUAAAUCUAAUCGCUAUAGACACCUGGUGGCCACUCGCCAAACCCCCCCAUUUUUUAAUG
RNAcentral lists this unclassified non-coding RNA (465 nucleotides) under uncultured Tetracladium. RNAcentral describes it as "sequence contains ITS1, 5.8S rRNA gene, ITS2". The stretch from base 162 to 315 matches the Rfam family "5.8S ribosomal RNA". Lineage: Eukaryota; Fungi; Ascomycota. The record is from RNAcentral.